CGCGUAGGCGGUCUUGUCGGUCAGAUGUGAAAGCCCGGGGCUCAACCCUGGAAGUGCAUUUGAAACAGCAAGACUUGAAUACUGGAGAGGAGAGCGGAAUUCCUGGUGUAGAGGUGAAAUUCGUAGAUAUCAGGAGGAACACAGAUGGCGAAGGCAGCUCUCUGGACAGAUAUUGACGCUGAGGAGCGAAGGUGUGGGUAGCGAACAGGAUUAGAUACCCUGGUAGUCC
RNAcentral lists this ribosomal RNA (229 nucleotides) under uncultured bacterium. Its description in RNAcentral is "partial 16S ribosomal RNA". It matches the Rfam family "Bacterial small subunit ribosomal RNA", at positions 568 to 796 of the family's 1533-position model. The record is from RNAcentral.